Molecule: ribosomal RNA, 299 nt
Filed under: uncultured bacterium
Lineage: Bacteria
Description: partial 16S ribosomal RNA
Rfam family: Bacterial small subunit ribosomal RNA
Source: RNAcentral
AGCGAACGCUGGCGGCAGGCCUAACACAUGCAAGUCGAGCGCCCGUAGCAAUACGGGAGCGGCAGACGGGAGAGUAACACGUGGGAACGUACCCUUCAGUUCGGAACAACCAAGGGAAACUUUGGCUAAUACCGAAUACGUCCGUAAGGAGAAAGAUUUAUCGCUGAAGGAUCGGCCCGCGUCUGAUUAGCUAGUUGUGAGGUAAUGGCUCACCAAGGCGACGAUCAGUAGCGGUCUGAGAGGAUGAUCAGCCUCAUUGGGACUGAGACACGGCCCAAACUCCUACGGGAGGCAGCAGU